RNAcentral lists this long non-coding RNA (572 nucleotides) under Ananas comosus (pineapple). Its description in RNAcentral is "long non-coding RNA (ACOM_LNC043896)". Lineage: Eukaryota; Viridiplantae; Streptophyta; Magnoliopsida; Poales; Bromeliaceae. The record is from RNAcentral.
UUUUUUAUGCAAAAAUGCUAUAAAUAAAUAAAUAAAUUAUAAAUAAAUAAAUGUAUUCAUCAGUCUUCUGAAAAUAGCGUAACUUAUCCUUACUUUUUGUCAUUCCUUUUAAUCUUGUACUGCAACUUUUGUAGUUUGUUUGUUUUUUGUAAUGCCUUCGAUACGGAUCCGGAAUAUUUGUUCAUAAGGUAAGGAGGAGAGGUGGGGGUAGGAGUAGAGAUAGGUGGAAAUUAGGGAAAUAAAGAUGGGAAUUGGAGAGAUUAUCAGUGCAGAGAGAGAGAGAGAGAGAGAUAAAGAGUUGUGAUAGAGAUUAGAAGUGGGGAUUAGAGAUAGAGGAGAAUUGGGAGAAGAAGGGUUUAGAGGAGAAGAGGAAGUUUGGGGAGAAGAAAAUGCUAAUUCAUUUCAUUGAUUCCUCACAUUAGCUACAUCUAUUUCUUAUAUAGUUCUUUACAUUGUAUUAAAAAGUAAAUGGUAGAAAAAGUAGUGGAUUAAGCUGUAAAAAGUAAUAAAAAUAGUAAAAGGGGGUUGUGGGCCGAUUUCGAUAGGAAUGUGGGCCGUGAGUGGGCUUGUCC